Molecule: ribosomal RNA, 499 nt
Filed under: uncultured Bacillota bacterium
Lineage: Bacteria; Bacillati; Bacillota
Description: bacterial SSU rRNA
Rfam family: Bacterial small subunit ribosomal RNA
Source: RNAcentral
UAGGGAAUUUUCCGCAAUGGACGAAAGUCUGACGGAGCAACGCCGCGUGAGCGAAGAAGGCCUUCGGGUCGUAAAGCUCUGUUGUUAGGGAAGAACAAGUACGAGAGUAACUGCUCGUACCUUGACGGUACCUAACCAGAAAGUCACGGCUAACUACGUGCCAGCAGCCGCGGUAAUACGUAGGUGGCAAGCGUUGUCCGGAAUUAUUGGGCGUAAAGCGCGCGCAGGCGGUCCUUUAAGUCUGAUGUGAAGCCCACGGCUCAACCGUGGAGGGUCAUUGGAAACUGGGGGACUUGAGUGCAGAAGAGGAGAGUGGGAAUUCCACGUGUAGCGGUGAAAUGCGUAGAGAUGUGGAGGAACACCAGUGGCGAAGGCGACUCUCUGGUCUGUAACUGACGCUGAGGCGCGAAAGCGUGGGGGAGCAAACAGGAUUAGAUACCCCUGGUAGUCCACGCCGUAAACGAUGAGUGCUAAGUGUUAGAGGGUUUCCGCCCUUUAG